This 69-nucleotide transfer RNA is filed under the name Ictidomys tridecemlineatus (thirteen-lined ground squirrel). RNAcentral describes it as "Spermophilus tridecemlineatus (thirteen-lined ground squirrel) tRNA". It matches the Rfam family "tRNA". From Rfam's summary of the family: Transfer RNA (tRNA) molecules are approximately 80 nucleotides in length. Their secondary structure includes four short double-helical elements and three loops (D, anti-codon, and T loops). Lineage: Eukaryota; Metazoa; Chordata; Mammalia; Rodentia; Sciuridae. The record is from Rfam by way of RNAcentral.
GGGAUUGUGGCUCAGCGGUAGAGUGCUUGCCUAGCAUGCAUGGGACCCUGGGUUCGAUCCUCAGCACCA